CUGAUGUAGGGCUCGAACCCAGGAACUGCGAGAUCAUGACCUGAGCUGAAGUGGGAUGCUUAACUGACUGAGCCACCCAAGCACCCUAGGAUACUUAGCACCCUAGGAUUCUUAACCUCAUCUGACCAGUUCUAGAUUGAAGUAACUUCUGUGGAGUCAUUAUGAAUUUGAAUUUGAGAUAAAAUGGAGUUAAGCUAUUUUAGUUUUUUUCCAGUAUCAGAAGUCAAGGAAUAGUAAUAUUCCAGGAGUGAAUACAUGAAUAUGUACUUUUUUUAACAUAAAUUCUGAGAUUGAGUCUUCCAGUGUUAAUGUAGAGAGAAAUUUGUCUUGUUUGAUCAUAGAUGGUAGUGCGUCUUUUAAGGCAUUGCUAGCAUUGCAAAUGUGUGGAUAUGCUGAGGAGAUAUGACUGGAGCAGUGUGGUUCACCUAGAAGCAGAUUUUGAAAACCGUUUGCAUGCAGUUGUGUAAGGUGUUUCUCACCUUAAUUAUUCUUAUUUCAUUCACGGUCAUGUCUUUUAACUAGUGAGUUUUGAAAUCUAAGUAGUGGCUCUCGGUUAAAAUAAAAGAAUAGAAACUGUCAGUGUGCAUGGCACAUACGAAAGGGAAGUGUUUCAUCACACUAAAUGUGUGUGCCUGUGUGCGUGCAUGUGCACAUGCAUGAGCAGAGUUGAAAUGUAGAGUUAUUUUUAAAGUCUACUUUAUUUGUAAAGUCUACUGUAGAGACUUACACAUAUGGUGCAUUCUGCGAGAGCAUGCACGUAGCGCUCACUUUCUGUCACUGUUCUAGUCAGUGAGGUGCUGUAACUUCCUGGUUUCUCAUCACCCUCAGAGGCAUACUUAUACUUUUUACGAUCUUUAUCUUACUCCUUUGAUUAUAGAAACUGUCUCUCAUUUAGGAUUCUCUAGAAUUCCUUUCUCCAGUUAGAAAAAUAAGAGUUUGAUUUUCACAGGAUACGUGUGGAAUCACUCUGUAGUCUGAUGGUCAUUGGUCUGAACAGUGGGUUUGGAGAAUUAAAGGUGUUUCAGAGUGACAGUGACUCUGGACAGGUCAUUUAAUCAGAAGCCAUGCUGAGACUUUUUGGUGGGCUGAUACAUUGUGGACAGCUCUUAUUUCCUGCAUUGGAUUGGGUUUCUGAUUGCGAGUAUUUAUUUACUUAUUACAUAAUUGUGGUCAAACUAAAAGGUCAGUAGUAAGUCCUAACUUCUCUUUUAUCUUGUCAAAGUGGUAAACUUGGUUUUCAAACAGUAAAGGAUUCAUGAGCUCUCUUAGAAGUUUGAAGAAUUGUACCUUUUUCCGGUCCUUUGAAAGGCAAACUAAAAGACUGUAAAUAGACAAUGUAGGCUGUGUCCAAGGACUGAAAUGACAGUUAAGGAAAAAAAACCCUGCAGAAGGUUACUGAAGUUCAGGGAAGGCGUCAUGACUGCGGAGGUCACUUGCAAGGCUUUGGAUUAUUUUUAAUUGAUGCAUGCUUUUACAGAAAUGUCUUCUCCAAGAGGAACGUUAAGAAUUUUCAGUUUCACA
Leopardus geoffroyi (Geoffroy's cat) is the source of this 1521-nucleotide long non-coding RNA. RefSeq lists it as uncharacterized. Lineage: Eukaryota; Metazoa; Chordata; Mammalia; Carnivora; Felidae. The transcript is spliced from 2 exons. The record is from RefSeq and is a predicted model, not a curated record.